RNAcentral lists this long non-coding RNA (2049 nucleotides) under Monomorium pharaonis (pharaoh ant). Its description in RNAcentral is "uncharacterized LOC118648918". The record is from RNAcentral. Lineage: Eukaryota; Metazoa; Arthropoda; Insecta; Hymenoptera; Formicidae.
CGUAUAACUUGUAGUCUCUUUUAACAGUUUACGAUAACAAUUGGUUUUUUAACGAUUUUUGGAGCAAACUUUAUAGGGUCGUUUACAAUUUAUAUUCCACGCUCGGAAGCUAUAUCUUCUCCAAGCUUUACGGCGAGAUACUCCGCAUUACCUUAACGAGAAUGUGAAAUUCAUGUUGCGGGAUGAUAACAAAUGAAGCGCGCAUCGCUUCAACAUUCGCAGCAGGACAAGGAAUUUGUUGUGAGGACGACUACGAAAUUAAGGAUCGUGAAGGAUCCAGUGCAACGUUUUCUAAUCUUGUUCGAGUCAAAUAAUUGCGGUCGAUCAUCGUUGAGUGAGAAAAGUGGUAAUCGGCGCGCCAGGUGGAUGCGGCUGUAUCUGUGGCCGUGAUACGCGAAAAUGGCGGUUGCGCCCGGUAAGAAUAAAUUGAAAAUGGGCAGUGCGAGCCGAUACUACGGUGCUUAUCUCAUCUACGACGUGGCAAACUCAUGCCUCGCCGCCUUGCACGCCAAGAUGCCUCCUCCAGUCGUCGUCACGCGAACCAACCCUCCGUCUCCUGUGCACGUCCAGAACCCCCGUAAGUUUUCUUCGUCUUUUCUACAUUUCUCCGUUUGUGUGACUGGCGCUUCGGUAACGCGAUAGCGAUUGCAGAUGUUCAAUUCCCUCGAUUUUCUUCGCGUUUCACCAAUUAAAUUUUUCCUCCGAGAUGAAUCUCUUUAGUGAUGGAUUUGGUAAAAUGUAAUAAUGUAAUUUCACGAAUUGUUUUGUAGAUUUUCACAGCUAGGAUGAUGCAAUAUUUCCGUAAUAUGGGAAGAUUUAUUAUUAUUAUUAAAUAUAAUGAAAAAAACAUCGUAUAUAAAAUUUACAUAGAUAAUAUUCUGCAAAUAAAAAUGUAGACAUUCUAUGAAUAAAUAUAGAAAUUUACAUUGCAGAUUAUAUGUUUGAGAUUAGGCGAGUAUCAUAAGAAGAUAUGUUCCGAUAUCUAAUCUAUGAGAUAUUAAGUACGAUACAAAACAAAUCAAAUUGUUCUUCUUUGUUACCAACAAUAAGAUAUGAGAGCUCGUAUAGAUAGUUAAUGGCAGGAUCUUUCGGUUGCAUGUUUUGAACCGAUUAGAACCAACACAUUUAAAAAGAAAAAGAAGAAGAGGAUAUUAAACGAACAAACGUGUAAAAAUAAAAUGUUUUAACGGUCUUGUUAACUUUAUCAAGACGAUUUACCAGGCAAGAAUUACUUAUCGCUUUGUUAACAGCUAUAAUAUUGCACAUACGUAUUUAUAUUUGGACUGCACAGCGACUAUUCACACCGAGAUAUAUAAAACCAUGUUUCGGCCAAACAUAUUUACGUACAUUUAUUAUAUUGCGUCGCACAUGAACAGAGACACAUAAUUAUAUUAUGCGGACUGAGUUACAUUCAGUAUUACAAUAUUUUUAAUUACAUUAAUGUAAUACGAGAAUGCCUCGGCUCAUAUCACGAUGCCAUCGCAUUUUCAUAGCCAGUCCAGCACGAGAUUGUACUUUCAUUUUUAACCCCAACGUAGAUAAAAUCUAAAUACGGCGUUUCUCUCGAAAAAUUCGAAUCAAUUUCACGUAGUAGGCGAGGCGCUGUAUGGUAUACUAAACAGUUCCACGCCCGUUUCCGCACAAACGACUUUUAAGGCAAUAUCGAUAACAUUAAAUAUUCACUACCCAAAUACGUCCAAAGCUGAUGUCUUAUUCAGAGAAAUAGCGGCGUAACAGCGUGCAUGCGAGUACGGUGUACAUUAUUCUCAUAACCGUAUGCUGCAGCAAUGCGUAGUAAACUGUUUUCAAUGGCGAGUAUCGCUAUACGUAUAAUAUCGCAAUAUAUAAACUAAUAGUGAUGGUAACUCGAGGAAGACUUCUCAUAACAGCUGCCGAUCCCGUGUCAUGGGUGAUGGCAGCCAUGCUUAAACUUCUUUAAUAUUGCACAGAGAAAUUUUUAGACUGCAAAAUUUUAUUUUUUUUUUAUGUUGUUUUUAAAUUGUCAUUUCAAUAUCUUUGAGAUAAUACUGUAUAAAAAGAAUACAAAAA